GCCACUAUAGCUCAAUGGCAGAGCAACCGCCUUGUAAGCGGUAGGUUAAGAGUUCGAGUCUCUUUAGUGGCU
Molecule: transfer RNA, 72 nt
Filed under: Candidatus Flexifilum breve
Lineage: Bacteria; Bacillati; Chloroflexota; Anaerolineae; Aggregatilineales; Candidatus Flexifilaceae
Description: tRNA-Thr
Rfam family: tRNA
About the family: Transfer RNA (tRNA) molecules are approximately 80 nucleotides in length.
Source: RNAcentral